CCUACGGGAGGCAGCAGUGAGGAAUAUUGGUCAAUGGGCGCGAGCCUGAACCAGCCAAGUAGCGUGCAGGAUGACGGCCCUAUGGGUUGUAAACUGCUUUUAUACAGGGAUAAAGUAGGGAACGUGUUCCCUUUUGCAGGUACUGUAUGAAUAAGGACCGGCUAAUUCCGUGCCAGCAGCCGCGGUAAU
This 189-nucleotide ribosomal RNA is filed under the name uncultured bacterium. Its description in RNAcentral is "partial 16S ribosomal RNA". It matches the Rfam family "Bacterial small subunit ribosomal RNA", at positions 338 to 524 of the family's 1533-position model. The record is from RNAcentral.